CCUACGGGAGGCUGCAGUGGGGAAUAUUGGACAAUGGGGGGAACCCUGAUCCAGCCAUGCCGCGUGUGUGAAGAAGGCCCUCGGGUUGGAAAGCACUUUCAGUGAGGAAGAACGCCUGGUGGUUAAUACCCAUCAGGAAAGACAUCACUCACAGAAGAAGCACCGGCUAACUCCGUGCCAGCAGCCGCGGUAAUACGGAGGGUGCGAGCGUUAAUCGGAAUUACUGGGCGUAAAGCGCGCGUAGGUGGCUUGAUAAGCCGGUUGUGAAAGCCCCGGGCUCAACCUGGGAACGGCAUCCGGAACUGUCAAGCUAGAGUGCAGGAGAGGAAGGUAGAAUUCCCGGUGUAGCGGUGAAAUGCGUAGAGAUCGGGAGGAAUACCAGUGGCGAAGGCGGCCUUCUGGACUGACACUGACACUGAGGUGCGAAAGCGUGGGUAGCAAACAGGAUUAGAUACCCGAGUAGUC
This 465-nucleotide ribosomal RNA is filed under the name Vreelandella stevensii. RNAcentral describes it as "partial 16S ribosomal RNA". It matches the Rfam family "Bacterial small subunit ribosomal RNA", at positions 338 to 795 of the family's 1533-position model. The record is from RNAcentral. Lineage: Bacteria; Pseudomonadati; Pseudomonadota; Gammaproteobacteria; Oceanospirillales; Halomonadaceae.